GAGUUUGAUCGUGGCUCAGAUUGAACGCUGGCGGUAUGCUUAACACAUGCAAGUCGAACGGUAACAGGCUAGCUUGCUAGCGCUGACGAGUGGCGGACGGGUGCGUAACGCGUAGGAAUCUGCCUAUUAGUGGGGGACAACCUGGUGAAAGCCAGGCUAAUACCGCAUACGCCUACGGGGGAAAGCAGGGGAUCUUCGGACCUUGCGCUAAUAGAUGAGCCUGCGUUAGAUUAGCUUGUUGGUGAGGUAAUGGCUCACCAAGGCGACGAUCUAUAGCUGGUCUGAGAGGACGAUCAGCCACACUGGGACUGAGACACGGCCCAGACUCCUACGGGAGGCAGCAGGUGGGGAAUAUUGGACAAUGGGCGGAAGCCUGAUCCAGCAAUACCGCGUGUGUGAAG
RNAcentral lists this ribosomal RNA (401 nucleotides) under uncultured microorganism. RNAcentral's name for it is "bacterial SSU rRNA". It matches the Rfam family "Bacterial small subunit ribosomal RNA", at positions 9 to 410 of the family's 1533-position model. The record is from RNAcentral.